UGGACACCUGCUUCCCUCCAGGCUCAGAUUCCCACAAAGACUCACAUGGCUUCACACGCUCUGCUCCCUCAUGGACUCUGCUUCCCCACUUCUGGACUCCUUUUUCCCCGACCCUUUUUCUCCGUCUUCCCUGUGACAGACUGGUGACCUGUCCAGGGUGUCUCCUGCCUUCGCCUCAAGUCAGCUUUGAUCGACUCCAGAACCCCGCGACCCUAAUGAGGAUUAAGCGGUGUGUGGAUAAUGGAUGGAAUGAUGGAUGGAUGUAUUUCACGGAGUAACGGGAAGUUGUCAAUAUCAGGAAAUACCAGUCGGAGGACGGCUGUGCUCUGCUCAGGAGUCUUAUGUGGCCAGUUUAAGGUAUUUAGGGACUACUUCACAUCAAUACAUCUUCAGGAAACUACAUGUAAAAGUUGCUGGAUUUAAUGCAGCUGUCUACAUAGAAAAGGAGAGCUAGAAUUGUCCAGAAAAAUGAAAAAUUUGUCUACAUUUCCC
Molecule: long non-coding RNA, 492 nt
Organism: Amphiprion ocellaris (clown anemonefish)
Lineage: Eukaryota; Metazoa; Chordata; Actinopteri; Pomacentridae
Source: Ensembl